UGGCGAACGGGUGAGUAACGCGUGGAUAACCUACCUGUCCGACCGGGAUAACACCUGGAAACGGGUGCUAAUACCGGAUACGCUCACGGGUUCACAAGAGCUUGUGAGGAAAGGGGAGACCCGCAGACAGAUGGGUCCGCGUCCCAUUAGCUAGUUGGGGGUGUAAUGGACUCCCAAGGCGACGAUGGGUAGCCGGCCUGAGAGGGUGACCGGCCACACUGGAACUGAGACACGGUCCAGACUCCUACGGGAGGCAGCAGUGGGGAAUCUUCCGCAAUGGGCGAAAGCCUGACGGAGCAACGCCGCGUGAGUGAAGAAGGCCUUCGGGUUGUAAAACUCUGUCAUCAGGGAAGAAGAAAGUGACGGUACCUGAGGAGGAAGCCCCGGCUAACUACGUGCCAGCAGCCGCGGUAAAACGUAGGGGGCGAGCGUUGUCCGGAAUUACUGGGCGUAAA
This 455-nucleotide ribosomal RNA is filed under the name uncultured bacterium. Its description in RNAcentral is "bacterial SSU rRNA". It matches the Rfam family "Bacterial small subunit ribosomal RNA", at positions 96 to 564 of the family's 1533-position model. The record is from RNAcentral.